This 96-nucleotide transfer RNA is filed under the name Echinostoma caproni. It matches the Rfam family "tRNA". From Rfam's summary of the family: Transfer RNA (tRNA) molecules are approximately 80 nucleotides in length. Their secondary structure includes four short double-helical elements and three loops (D, anti-codon, and T loops). The record is from Rfam by way of RNAcentral. Lineage: Eukaryota; Metazoa; Platyhelminthes; Trematoda; Plagiorchiida; Echinostomatidae.
GGCCUCGUAGCUCAGCUGAGCUGAGCUGAGCUCAGAGUGUGUGCUGUACAAAGCUUAGGCGACGUGCAUGCGUGGGUUCGAAUCCCACCGAGGCUA